Non-coding RNA from Triticum aestivum (bread wheat), 170 nucleotides. The record is from Rfam. NCBI's taxonomy places the organism in Eukaryota, Viridiplantae, Streptophyta, Magnoliopsida, Poales, Poaceae.
GCUAGGAAGAGGAAGAAAGAGAGGGCGUAAGAGCACUGGGAAUGAGAACAUAGAGGAAACCUAACUUACUAGUUCUUCACCACUUGUCUUGAGGUGGCAAUUCAGUUUGCCACUUUCCAAUGCCUCUCAUUCCUCUUCUUCUUAGGCGUUCCUUCCUCUUCCUUUUUGUU